Molecule: ribosomal RNA, 827 nt
Filed under: Luciola sp. 07720D-Tsp1
Lineage: Eukaryota; Metazoa; Arthropoda; Insecta; Coleoptera; Lampyridae
Description: partial 16S rRNA
Source: RNAcentral
UAAUUCUCUUAUUAUUAAUUUAUUAAUUAAUUUUUAGUUAAUAAUUUUUAGUAUGAAAUAUUUAAGGGGAUGAGCUUUUGAUUAUAUAAUUAAAAAUUUAAUUUUAUUUUAUUUUUUGUAUAAUUUAUAUUGUUAAUCAUUUUAAUAAUUUAAUAGUUAAUUUUAUUUGUUAUAAAAUUUUUAUUUGUUUUAAUUUUUAUAUUAAAAAAAUUUGUUUAAUAUAAUUUCUUAAGUUAUGAUGAUAAAAUUAGUAGAUAAAUUUGUAUUUAUAUAAAAUAUUUUAAUUAAUAAAAAGGAACUCGGCAAAUUAAUUUUUCGCCUGUUUAUUAAAAACAUGUCUUUUUGAUUAUAAUUUAAGGUUUAAUCUGCUCAAUGAUUUUUAAAUUGCCGCAGUAUUUUGACUGUGCGAAGGUAGCAUAAUAAUUAGCUUUUUUAUUGAGAGCUGGAAUGAAUGAUUGGACGAGAAAAUUUCUGUCUCUUUAUUAUUUUUAUUUAAUUUUACUUUUAAGUUAAAAGGCUUAAAUUUUUUUAAAAGACGAGAAGACCCUAUAGAGUUUAAUUUGUUAUUAUUAUUUAUUUUAUUUGUAUUGGAAAAAUUUGUUUUAAUAAUAAAUUUAGUUGGGGUGACUAAAAGAUUAAUUAAACUCUUUUAAUCAAAAUCAAUUAUAUUUGAAUAUGAAAUCUAUAUUUUUAAAUUUAAUAUAAAUUACCUUAGGGAUAACAGCGUAAUUUUUCUUUAAAGUUCUUAUUAAAAGAAAAGUUUGCGACCUCGAUGUUGGAUUAAAAUAAAUAUUAGGUGUAGAAGCUUAAUUAUUGAGUCUGUUCGA